ACGUGGGUGACCUACCUUCGAGUGGGGGAUAACGUCCCGAAAGGGACGCUAAUACCGCAUAACAUCCUGCCUUUGAACAGGCGGAGAUCAAAGCCGGGGAUCGCAAGACCUGGCGCUUGAUGAGGGGCCCGCGUCCGAUUAGCUAGUUGGUGGGGUAAUGGCUCACCAAGGCGACGAUCGGUAACCGGCCUGAGAGGGCGGACGGUCACACUGGGACUGAGACACGGCCCAGACUCCUACGGGAGGCAGCAGUGGGGAAUUGUUCGCAAUGGGCGCAAGCCUGACGACGCAACGCCGCGU
RNAcentral lists this ribosomal RNA (300 nucleotides) under uncultured Acidobacteriota bacterium. RNAcentral describes it as "bacterial SSU rRNA". It matches the Rfam family "Bacterial small subunit ribosomal RNA", at positions 115 to 402 of the family's 1533-position model. Lineage: Bacteria; Pseudomonadati; Acidobacteriota. The record is from RNAcentral.